GAUGAACGCUGGCGGCGUGCCUAACACAUGCAAGUCGAGCGGAGAUAUAGAAAGUGCUUGCACUUUCUAUAUUUUAGCGGCGGACGGGUGAGUAACGCGUGGGUAAUCUGCCUUAUACAGGGGAAUAACAAUGAGAAAUCAUUGCUAAUACUUCAUAAGCUUACGUUAUCGCAUGAUAGAGUAAGAAAAGAUUUAUCGGUAUAAGAGGAGCCCGCGGCUGAUUAGCUAGUUGGUAAGGUAACGGCUUACCAAGGCAACGAUCAGUAGCCGACCUGAGAGGGUGAUCGGCCACAUUGGGACUGAGACACGGCCCAAACUCCUACGGGAGGCAGCAGUGGGGAAUAUUGCACAAUGGAGGAAACUCUGAUGCAGCAACGCCGCGUGAAGGAAGAAGGGUUUCGGCUCGUAAACUUCUAUCGACAGGGAAGAAAGAAAUAACGGUACCUGAGGAGGAGGCCACGGCUAACUACGUGCCAGCCGCCGCGGUAACAC
RNAcentral lists this ribosomal RNA (492 nucleotides) under uncultured bacterium. Its description in RNAcentral is "bacterial SSU rRNA". It matches the Rfam family "Bacterial small subunit ribosomal RNA", at positions 28 to 526 of the family's 1533-position model. The record is from RNAcentral.